CAGGUUCUUAUUUAUCGCUUUAUUUAUUUAUUUUCCGCAUCGCUUUUAUUUUAUUUACUUUCUGUCUACGCUUUUAUUUUAUUUAUUUUUCGCACUCGCUUUAAUUUUAUUUAUUUUCCGCACUCGCUUUACUUUAUUUAUUUUCCGCACUCUCUUUUAUUUUAUUUAUUUUCCACACUCACUUUACUUUAUUUAUUUUCUGCACUCGCUUUACUCUAUUUAUUUUCCGCACUCGCUUUACUUUAUUUAUUUUCCGCGCUCGCUUUACUUUAUUUAUUUUAUGCACUUUACUCGCUCUUUAUGCCUCACAUUCUAAAACAAACUUUUCAUCAUGAUCA
Molecule: long non-coding RNA, 338 nt
Filed under: Lathyrus oleraceus (garden pea)
Lineage: Eukaryota; Viridiplantae; Streptophyta; Magnoliopsida; Fabales; Fabaceae
Description: Pisum sativum (pea) long non-coding RNA (PSAT_LNC031013)
Source: RNAcentral